AUUGAACGCUGGCGGAAUGCUUUACACAUGCAAGUCGAACGGCAGCACGGGGGCAACCCUGGUGGCGAGUGGCGAACGGGUGAGUAAUACAUCGGAACGUGCCCAGUCGUGGGGGAUAACGUAGCGAAAGUUACGCUAAUACCGCAUACGAUCUACGGAUGAAAGCGGGGGACCGUAAGGCCUCGCGCGAUUGGAGCGGCCGAUGUCAGAUUAGGUAGUUGGUGAGGUAAAGGCUCGCCAAGCCGACGAUCUGUAGCUGGUCUGAGAGGACGACCAGCCACCCUGGGACUGAGACACGGCCCAGACUCCUACGGGAAGCAGCAGUGGGGAAUUUUGGACAAUGGGCGCAAGCCUGAUCCAGCCAUUCCGCGUGCAGGACGAAGGCCUUCGGGUUGUAAACUGCUUUUGUACGGAACGAAAAGGCCCUGGUUAAUACCUGGGGCUCAUGACGGUACCGUAAGAAUAAGCACCGGCUAACUACGUGCCAGCAGCCGCAGUAA
This 500-nucleotide ribosomal RNA is filed under the name uncultured bacterium. RNAcentral describes it as "partial 16S ribosomal RNA". It matches the Rfam family "Bacterial small subunit ribosomal RNA", at positions 30 to 523 of the family's 1533-position model. The record is from RNAcentral.